UACGUAGGGCGCGAGCGUUGUCCGGAAUCAUUGGGCGUAAAGAGCUCGUAGGCGGCCGGUUGCGUCUGCUGUGAAAUCCCGGGGCUUAACCCCGGGCGUGCAGUGGAUACGGGCUGGCUGGAGGCAGGCAGGGGAGAAUGGAAUUCCCGGUGUAGCGGUGAAAUGCGCAGAUAUCGGGAGGAACACCGGUGGCGAAGGCGGUUCUCUGGGCCUGUGCUGACGCUGAGGUGCGAAAGCGUGGGGAGCAAACAGG
This 253-nucleotide ribosomal RNA is filed under the name uncultured bacterium. Its description in RNAcentral is "partial 16S ribosomal RNA". It matches the Rfam family "Bacterial small subunit ribosomal RNA", at positions 524 to 776 of the family's 1533-position model. The record is from RNAcentral.